UAGUGACGUGUGACCAAGUGUAACCACUGAUUUAAAGGUGCACACACUGCCACCUGCUGGAGCACCAGGUUACAUCCUACAGGAUAUCUGCACUGCAUACUGAGCUACAUUCCUGAACCAAUCAAAAACCAGCUCUUGGAAAAACCAAGCGAAACCGAGGUUCCCGGCCUCCAGCUCAGCCACAGCCAGCUGCAGAGACGUGACAGCACUGGACACCUGAGAGACAGCAACAAUCAAAGCUGUGCCAGUGAGGUGAUGGUGGUGGUUGCUGUUGCAACAUUUUCGACACUUCGACUCCACAUGAGCCGAUCCAGCUCCCAGUCUGCUAGUCCUGCACUGCCAGCCUGUGCCACCAGGAAGCCAGGAGGAGGAGA
This is a long non-coding RNA of Toxotes jaculatrix (banded archerfish), 374 nucleotides long. RefSeq lists it as uncharacterized. The transcript has 3 exons. The record is from RefSeq and is a predicted model, not a curated record. NCBI's taxonomy places the organism in Eukaryota, Metazoa, Chordata, Actinopteri, Toxotidae.